GAAAAGUGACCUAUUUUGUGAAAUUGAUGGCUCAGGUUAUAUUCAACAGUUCAACCAAAUAAAACUAAUAGUAACAUAGGAUUUGGUUUGAUAUUCUACAUUUCUAUAUGGAGCAUUUGACCCUACUUGACUUUUAAUUUCGGUGAUGCUCUUUUUGCUUAUUAAUUUGAUAAGCAUAGUUUUUCAGUAGUGGCGUUGGGC
RNAcentral lists this long non-coding RNA (201 nucleotides) under Salvia miltiorrhiza (redroot sage). RNAcentral's name for it is "long non-coding RNA (SMIL_LNC001831)". The record is from RNAcentral. Lineage: Eukaryota; Viridiplantae; Streptophyta; Magnoliopsida; Lamiales; Lamiaceae.